AAAACUUAAGAAAGAAUUCUUAUUCUAUUAAUUU
RNAcentral lists this transfer RNA (34 nucleotides) under Zygaena fraxini. RNAcentral describes it as "partial transfer RNA-Ser". Lineage: Eukaryota; Metazoa; Arthropoda; Insecta; Lepidoptera; Zygaenidae. The record is from RNAcentral.